Molecule: transfer RNA, 68 nt
Filed under: Sinocentrus brevicornis
Lineage: Eukaryota; Metazoa; Arthropoda; Insecta; Hemiptera; Membracidae
Description: tRNA-Leu
Source: RNAcentral
AUUGAUUUGUCAGAUUUUAAUUGAUUUAAAUUUAGGAUUUAAUUAUAUGUAUUUAUACAUAAUCAAUA